AGGCCCUUCUGUAUUACACCUUGAACAGUUUGUUGUUGUUAUUUUGGUUUGCACCAGGAUGCUAAAGAAAAAUCCCUGUACUUUCUCUGUCUUUGUGGCAACCCAGACUGAAUUGCGGAAUACAUUU
Oryctolagus cuniculus (rabbit) is the source of this 127-nucleotide small nucleolar RNA. The record is from Ensembl. NCBI's taxonomy places the organism in Eukaryota, Metazoa, Chordata, Mammalia, Lagomorpha, Leporidae.